Long non-coding RNA from Hemicordylus capensis (graceful crag lizard), 340 nucleotides. RefSeq lists it as uncharacterized. The record is from RefSeq and is a predicted model, not a curated record. The transcript is spliced from 2 exons. Lineage: Eukaryota; Metazoa; Chordata; Lepidosauria; Squamata; Cordylidae.
GGUUUCUUAGCGGAGUGUCAAAAAUGGACUGCACCACCGAGAUCUGGAAAAGGGUAGAAAACACUAUUUUUGUUUUUUAACAUCGUCUGGAUAAAAUAUAUUGGAUACAUUAAAUACACACUGCACAAGAUGGCCUGGGGGCUGAUGGGAGAAAGAGAGGCCACCUCAGUCGGAAGAGCGGGAGCUGGAUGGUGGCAUCUCACCAGUCUGUUUCUGCCUUCUCAUGUUUGUGAUUCAACAUCUUUACCCACUUUUAAAUGAGCUCUUAAGACACAUCUUUUAAGCCUGGCUUUUAGUAAGCUGUGAAUGUUUAAAAUUGUAUUAAAUUGUUUUAAUUGUU